GUGAAUCAUCAAAUUUUUGAACGCAAAUUGCGCCUUUUUCGGAAGGCAUGUCUGUUUGAGGGCACCAUUUAACAAAUAAUGUGCAGCGUUUUUUGUUGCACACGUUGAGGAUCUUUCCAAGUAUUUUAAAUUUUUGGUUGCGCAUAAUGGACAGCGUGAAAGUUUUUUUCAGUUCGAGUGGAGUAAAAUCUUUGCGGGGGUUGUGAAAAAAGAUAGUCCCU
Molecule: unclassified non-coding RNA, 221 nt
Filed under: Paraglomerales sp.
Lineage: Eukaryota; Fungi; Glomeromycota; Glomeromycetes; Paraglomerales
Description: partial contains 5.8S ribosomal RNA and internal transcribed spacer 2
Rfam family: 5.8S ribosomal RNA (bases 1-65)
Source: RNAcentral